RNAcentral lists this ribosomal RNA (539 nucleotides) under uncultured Bacillota bacterium. RNAcentral describes it as "bacterial SSU rRNA". It matches the Rfam family "Bacterial small subunit ribosomal RNA", at positions 28 to 576 of the family's 1533-position model. The record is from RNAcentral. Lineage: Bacteria; Bacillati; Bacillota.
GGUUAACGCUGGCGGCGCGCAUAACACAUGCAAGUCGAGCGAGGGCUCAUUUCCCGCAAGGGAGAUGGGUUCCUAGCGGCGAACGGGUGAGUAACACGUGGGCAACCUUUCCUAUCGCGGGGGAUAACAGCGGGAAACCGCUGCUAAUACCGCAUGUCGUCACCGGUCGCAUGGCUGGUGAAGAAAGCAGCAAUGCACGAUGGGGUGGGCCCGCGGCCUAUCAGCUAGUCGGUGGGGUAACGGCCUACCGAGGCGAUGACGGGUAGCUGGUCUGAGAGGACGACCAGCCACACGGGGACUGAGACACGGCCCCGACUCCUACGGGAGGCAGCAGUGAGGAAUCUUCCGCAAUGGGCGAAAGCCUGACGGAGCGACGCCGCGUGUGGGAUGAAGUCCUUCGGGAUGUAAACCACUGUUGGAGGGGAAGACAACUGACGGUACCCUCCGAGAAAGCCCCGGCUAACUACGUGCCAGCAGCCGCGGUAAUACGUAGGGGGCAAGCGUUAUCCAGAUUUACUGGGCGUAAAGCGCGUGUAGGC